Molecule: ribosomal RNA, 466 nt
Filed under: uncultured bacterium
Lineage: Bacteria
Description: bacterial SSU rRNA
Rfam family: Bacterial small subunit ribosomal RNA
Source: RNAcentral
CCUACGGGUCGCAGCAGUGGGGAAUAUUGGGCAAUGGGCGCAAGCCUGACCCAGCAACGCCGCGUGAGGGAAGAAGGCCUUCGGAUCGUAAACCUCUGUCAGGAGGGAAGAAGUGGCAUGUUUUUCAUAGAGACAUGCUUUGACGGAACCUCCGGAGGAAGCACCGGCUAACUCCGUGCCAGCAGCCGCGGUAAUACGGAGGGUGCAAGCGUUAUUCGGAAUUACUGGGCGUAAAGCGCGCGUAGGGUGCGUGGUAAGUCAGAUGUGAAAGCCCUCGGCUCAACCGAGGAACCGCAUUUGAAACUGGUAGGCUUGAGUACGAGAGAGGGUGGCGGAAUUCCCGGUGUAGGGGUGAAAUCCGUAGAUAUCGGGAGGAACACCGGUGGCGAAGGCGGCCACCUGGGUCGAUACUGACGCUGAGGCGCGAAAGCGUGGGUAGCAAACAGGAUUAGAUACCCUCGUAGUC